CCUUGAAUUCCAGGGAAAGAAGGAAAGCAGGAAGGGGCCUGCCUCUUUAAUAAAAGGAGCUGGCACACAAUCCCAAUACCUAUUGAGAAGGGAAUUUGUAUUUUGAUUUGAUCAAUCAGGGAUUUCGACUUCCCUUCAGUUUGUUUUUAAUUUAGGUCAAUCAGCAGCCAGUGAAUUGAUCCCACAGGCACUGCUCCCCUGGGUGGGUUAAUUGAGGAAUUGUGAUUGGUUCCUGGGGAGUGAUAUAAGAAAGCUUGUGGGUAUAGUAAGGAUUUAUAAGAGGAGACCCAGGAGGAAGCUGGGGUUUAUUUUCUGAAGCUAAGAUUUGGAGACAGACACUGAGUUGUUAGGUUCUGGAAUAUUAGGCUAGGAAAUUCUUCACCUCUUUUCUAUAUUAUUCUCUUAUUUUUUUUUCUUAUUAGUAAAUCUAGCUAUUAAAAGCCUUGUGGCUUAAGGGUUAGUUACAGUUUUUGGUGACCACCCAUUCUAAUCAUUACAAUUUUGGUGACCCAGAUGGGACAAUGAGUACUCUCAUUUUCUUCAGUACUUUUUCUCUCCCUAAGCUAUUCUUGAGUAGGUUUGUUAGUAGCUAAAUUCUAGAGUUAGGAGUUCUUACUCCUCUUUAAGUUGGUAGAGCAGUUUGGAAUAGACAAGGGAGCAGAUUAGCCUCAUGGCUACAGCUGUUGUCUAGUGCUGUGGAGCAGUUUGGAAGCCCCUUUCACUUCUAUGGAAGCUGUGCUGCUGUUGCCUCCUGACUACUGCUGAUUCCCUGAGAGUUCUGCACAGGCAAGUGAGAUCUUUUCCCUUUAACUAAGAACACCUGAGUGCUUGCUGCUGCCUGGUAAGCCCGUGGGUUGUUUUUUUUUUUUAAGCAGCAGUCAGCUCCCUCAGGGUUUCAUCUGGUGUAUGUGGGGUGGAGGGUGGGGUGGGGGUAGGGGUGAAACGCUUUCACUUCUCUGACUCCCUGCCUUGGGGAAGGAUACCCAGCACCCACGUGCUUCUAGCAUUGACUUUAGGGUGGAGGUGGAGGACUUAAGGAGAGCAACUGUAAAGAUAAAUAAAACUGUUCCCUUAACCCUCCCUUAAGCUUUCAGAGCCUACUAAGGGGAAAAUCCCAACAUCCCACACCCUGUGCUUAUACCCCAAACCUGUGACACUCUUAGCUAAACUUGGGCUAUACCCUGAAGGUUUUACCUAUCUACCUAAAUAGGUGAUUGAAUAUGGUGCUGAAAAUCAUAGCCCACACAAUGAAAGAGCAGAUUCCUGCCUAUCUCAAACAGCUCCUGUUUCCAAAGAGCAUUAGAGUUCACACAGGUCUCGAUUCUAUAUUGUCUUCAUUUAUUACCAUUUCUGGGUGUAAUUGUACUGAUAGCAUACCUUCAAAUUUACCAAAUAGUUUACUCAUUCCUCCCCAAGAAAAAACAACAAAAAUAUAGCUUGAUUGAUCUCAAGACUUGGAUAAAAUGCCUUGAAAAAUGCAUCUCUCAUCCUGCUCAAAUUACCUCUCACUCUACCCAAACUACCUCUCCCCUUAUCCCUACUACUCUUCCUGAUCCCUUCACCUACUCCAUUGCAACCCAAACAAAAAUUUAAGAUAAUUCAAUUAAAGGCCUAUUCCCCCUAAGUAUCCACUUACAAUAAACAAGAAUAUUUUGCAAAUAUUAAACAACAUUUGCCUUUCACUCCAAAAGAUAUUGAGAUACAAGGCAAAUACCCCCUUCCUUUGAAGAUGAUCCCACUGUAGUCAUAAAAAAGCUGGAAAAUAUUUACUACACUUAUGAUCCCACAUUGAUUGAUGUGGAAAAUUUGCUCCAAGCCUUUAUUACAGAAAGAGAAAGAAAUAAAAUUGUUUCUCUUGUUAAUGAGGCUCAGGGAAGAGGAGCAAUUGAUUGACCAAAGGAAGACCCAAAAUGGGAAUCGAAUGUAGGAGGAGAUUACUUACAUUAUGUCAAGGUAUGGAGGCAUUGCUAAAAGCAAUGAGAACUUGCUUUGAAAGGCCUGGUACAUAGACAAAAAUUGAAAAUGUUAAACAAAAAUAUGAUGAAAGCCCCUGCCAGUUUAUGGAUAGGCUUAUUGAGAUGGGAGGUAGAUAUAGACCUGGAUCUUUCCAGAGAAAAGGAUGUCAGACAAAUAAGACAGUUUGUGGAAAAAACUGUUGUAAAGUGGUUAAGGACUAUUUUAAGACUAACUGCCCAAACUGGGCUAAUAUGGAUCUUGAGAAAUUAAGAAGAGUAGUAGUUUAUGUCUUUGGCCAUGAAAAAAAAAAGAUGAAGAUAAUAGUGACAUAGUGGAGGCAUUAAGGAAGGAAAUAAGAAUUUUAACUAAAAAAAAUUGAAAAAGAAAAAGCAAAUCAAGGAGUGACCAUAGCCCCUUUGCAGGAAUCCACAAAUCAACCAGUAAUGUGUUACUUUUGUGAGAAAAGGGGUCACAUAAUGAUGAACUGUAAGAAGUAGAAUCAAGUAUUUAGAACUAUAAGCUUUAAAAAUAAUAGAAACUCGUAUAGAAAUAGUAAUUCAAAUAAGACAAAUCAAGACACACAACAAAACACCCCAAAUGGGGCCCAUCCAUACUAUACUCAGGGUGGGAAUCCCCCUAUGUGUAGGGGACCCCAGAGAAAUAGCCAAGGAUCUUUUUGAUGGUGGGGAGGAGGGCUCUGGAAUCAGAGCAAAAUCUUUGAUUUCCUAGACCCUGAUGUUUUAAUGUCAGUUAUCCCAGUCAGUUUCCCACCCAACCCCAAGUAAUGUACCUCAUGUAACUCUAAAGGUUGGAAACAUGUAUUAUGAUUACCUCUUAGACACUGGAGCUUCCGGGUCAGUUUUGAUGAGUAAACCUGAUUCUGAAUGCAAUUCUAUUGGCUCUUUAAAUGUAGGAGGUGUAUAUACCUCUAAAGACUCCCAAAGCUUUCCCCUUGAAUGGUGUCUAUGGGACCCCUAACAGUAGAACAUUCUUUCCUUUUAAUGCCUGGUUCCCCUUUAAAUCUGUUAAGGAGAGAUCUUUAAUGCAAACUUAGUCACAAUAACAUGAUCUCAAGAUGGCUCUAUAACACUAAAAUUGCCUGAGGAAUCCUUAAAUUUGCUCUCUGUAUUUAUUUUAGACAGUCAAGAGGUGAAAGAGCCCCCCAACUUUGAAAUCCUAGCUGAUAUAUCUGAGUCUCUCUGGGCCAUAUCUUCUUCCAAUGUAGGCCUACUCAAAUUAGCUAUUCCUGUUCAAAUUAAGACAAAAGGUGGUCCACCUCCUUUCCUUCCUCAGUAUCCCCUAUCAAAAGAGCCAAUUGAGGGAAUUACCCCAGUGAUAGAUUCAUUGAUUAAGCAAAGAAUAAUAAUUCCAUGCAAAUCUGAAUAUAAUAUACCUAUUCUACCUGUUAAAAGCUAAAAACAGGCCCAGGAAAACAUGUAUAUUGAUUUGUACAGGAUUUAAGGACUGUAAAUCAUGUCAUAAAAAGGUAUCCUGUGGUUCCCAACCCAGUCACAAUUAUUUCCUCUAUUCCCAACACAGCCACAUUUUACUGUGGUAUAUCUGUGCUCAGCAUUCUUCUUAAUCCAUAUUAAUGAAAAUUCCAGGAAUAUAUUUGCCUAUGGGAAUCUGCAAAGGUUCUAAGUACCUGGUCCAGGCUGCCAUAAGGGUUCGUGGACAGUCCCAUGUUGUCAUCACAUAUUUUAAAACAGGAUUUAGACAAUAUUAAAUUUCAGAAUAGCUGUUUGAUACAAUUUGCAGAUUAUCUGUUUUUUUUUUUAUCUCACCAAAUACCACAGUAUUCCAGGAAGAUAGCAAGCAUCUUAUUUUAGAGCUACACAAGAGAGGCCAUAAGGUCUCAAAGUCAACGGUUCAGUGUAUCUCCCCAAAGUAGAAUAUUUAGGGUUUAUUGUAACUGCUGGUGCCCACUUCAUUUCCCCUAAAAUCAUUGAAGAUGUUCAGAAAUUGACUGUCCCCUCCACUAAAACAGUUGAGGGCAAUUCUAAGAACAACAGGGUUUUGUAAACAGUGGAUCUCUUGCUAUGGAGAAAUCACCAAACCCCUUAUAGCUCUAACAAAAAAUUCAGUCUCUGAACAGCUUAGAUUAGAGGUGGAACACCUGUCAGCUCUUUCAGAAUUAAAAAAGGCUAUUCUGACUGCCCCUGCUAUAGGCAUUCCGGAUUACAAAAAAACACUUACCUUGUAUGUACACAAAUAAGGAUAGCUUUGACUGUUCUAACUCAAACUUUAGGACCUGUUUAGCAUCCAUUUCUUUAUUAUUCAGUCUAGCUGGAGCCAGUAGCUUCAGGAGUCUUUGAGGUGUAGCUGAUAUAGUUUUAUUAGUAACUAAGUCUGCUGAUUUAGUAUUGGGGAGCCCACAUGAAGUUGAAGCCUUAUUGUUAAGGCAUAGAACACAGGCAUUUUCUGAUCAAAGACUUUCCAGAUAUGAAGUAAACUUGUUAGGCAAUGAAACUAUUACCUUGAAAUGCUGUACAGUACUUAAUCCUGCCACCUUGCUUCCAGAUUUUCCAGUUUAAGGAGAACCAUUGCAUAACUGAAUCUUUAGUGCCCAUGGCAGAAAAACCUCGAGAUAAUCUCAUGGACACUCCUUUACACAACAUAUUUUUAGUUUUAUUCACUGAUGGUUCUUAUUUCAUGAGGGAUGAUAUGCUCUAUACUGGAACUGCCAUAGUCACAGAAUUUGCCACUCUGUAGUCAGCUUCACUGCCCUCAAAUACAAGUGCUGAAGGUGCAGAACUGAUAGCUCUAAAACAUUCCUGUAUAAUUGCUAAAGAUAAAAAGGCAACAAUUUACACAAAUUCUACAUAUGCAUUUGGAAUAUGUCAUACAGUGGGUAUGCUAUGGCUCUAAUGGGGGGGGGUUAACUUCUUCUGGAAAAUGUAUUGCAAAUGCAGAAAUCAUUAAUGAAGUUCUUUCUGCUCUACAGCUACCUGAAGUCCUAGCUGUAGUUCAUUGUUCUGCCCAUACAGGUGGAACUGACCCUAUCUCUAGAGGAAACCACCAGGCAGAUACUGCAGCAAAGCUUGUUGCCAUACAAGGACCCGAAUUGAUUUUAACUUUGGCAAUUAGUAGCUAAUCAAAUUUAUCACUCUUAUAAUGAACAAGAAGUAAAAAAAUGGAAACAAAGGUUUAAAGCAAAAUAGAUCAGUGGUAUGGGUGUCAUCUGAAGGAAAAUCCCAACAACCUAUAAAUUUUUUAUCACCAAAUAUGCUAUGUUCACAUGUCAAGCCUGUAACCAAUGUGCCUUUCAUGGCAAAGCUUUUGGUGGGAAUCCUCUGGCUUACACACCUUUUGAGCACUUACAAAUAGAUUUUAUUACUGUGCCUAAGACUGGAACUUUAUAAAUUUUGUAUAGUCAUAGUGGAUCAGCUGACUAGAUAGCCAGAAGUUUCCUAGCACUCAAGUCACAACUUUUAAAAGAGAUUAUUCCUCACUUUGGCCUGAUAGCAUGAAUUGAUUCAGACAGAGGAACUCAUUUUACCAACUCUAUUUUGUCUCAGAUUUAUUCGUGUUUGGGAAUCACCAAAUUCCAUGUACUGUAUCAUCCCCAGAGCUCAGGACAAGUUGAGAGAAUGAAUAGAGACUUUAAGACUAUGAUUAGAAAAUUGCACUGAAACUCACUUAAAAUGGUUUAAAGUUCUCCCUCUAGUUCUGUUUUAUCUUCAAAGCAGGCCCAGGGGAGAUCUAUACAUCUCACCAUUUGAGAUGCUUUUUGGACAUCCCCCCAUACAGUCUAAGUCUUUUUCUCCUGCAUACACAUCAUUACUAUGGGGGAACACUUCUAUUGCUUUGUUUAUACAGGACUUCCAAAUCAAAUUGCAAGAACUCCAUGAAUCUGGAGCUGUAAUACAAGCAGGACCUCUAGACUUCUCACUCCAUGACCUUUACUCAGGAGACAAGAUUUACUUAAAGAACUUCCAGAGGACUGGUGGAAUUCAGCCUGCCUGGAAAGGUCCAUUUUAAGUACUGUUAAUCACUCCAAAAACUAUUAAAUUAGGAUAAAAAGACUCCUGGAUUCAUUGCUCACAUGUAAAAUGGGUAGCUUCUAUUGACACUGAUUAACUAUAUCCUGUUAUUGUCUUUACUUGUACACUUUUCCUAUGCCUGGACUGGAGAUAAUGCCAUUAUAGAAGUCCAUAGACAAGUUGGACACUGUUUUGACUGACACAGCGAAUUCCUGAAUAUUUUUAUUGCUUUCCUUUUGUUUGCAUGGAAUCAGUAUUGGUGUUUUUUAUUUUAAAGGAUAAGCUUAUAAUAUCCAUUAACCCUAAUAUCAAUGCAUAACCAAAAGUUUUAGACUAAAGAAACCUGCCAUUUAUUUUAAAUAUUUUGGGGUUUUUAUUAAAAUUGUGUCUGAUUUCAAAAGAAGGGAUUACAAAAGAGCCACUGUACAGUACGAAGAAGCUCAAGGUCAAGGAGACAAACAAUCCCUGUGAGAUUGAUAAGUAUCUGUGCCAAGACAGAGGAGUUGUUUUAGGUUCGAGGAAGGAGCUAUUUGACAAUGUCAGACUGCUGGACUCCCCUGUGCCACAUGCUGAAAAGUACCUUACUUUGGCUGCCAUUUUGGCUCCCCUAUCCCUAAAAUCAAAGGUAAAAUCAGGCCAGGGAAUUAUAUUUCCUGUUUACAUUGGAAUCUAGUCCCUUUUUCUCAUUUAUAGUAUGGCAAUCUUCUGUAGUCCUGGCUGCUGUUGGGUAAAUGCAGUAUUGUUAUAUUUGUCCUGUAGGUUUUUAGGUCAUAAAUCAUUUUAAUUGGACCUUGUUAAUGAUCCAAGGUCUUGUUGCAAGUUUGUUCUUUUUUGCUUAUAAUUUUAUUAUUAUUGGGUGAUCCUGGUAUUGGUUGGCACCCUCCUUGUGGGGUGGGGGUUGUAUGGUUUAUGGUUUUAAUUGUAUAGUUGUCCUAAAAUCCAGAGUUUGAAAAUCUUUUGGAGGAAUUUUAGGAGAAGAGACUUGCCAACACCUUAAAUUGGUAAGGUGAAUUUUUUUGAAGAGGGUGCUAUGGAGAUGCCUAUAGAAACCACACACUUCAUCAAGAGAUCUAGAAUGAACUGAACUAAAGGAGAUUGAACACAUUUAUUCUAAAGGUAAAUUCUUAUACCAAAGGGGAUGCCCCCGAUUGGCUUUUUGUCAUGCAUCUAAUUUUUGUUUUUUUUUCCCCUCUUGUUCCCAGGUUGCUGUAAUUUUCUCUUAGAAAGGGCAAUGUUUUAUAUACCUUUAGUGGGAGAAUCCUUAGAGAUACACACGUUGGUUUUUUUAAAUGAUUCACUGGGGGGAUUAAGCAUGUUAAUCUCUCAAGACCCUCAAUUGAGGAAAUUUCAACAUGUUUGUCUCCCAAUAGAAUCACAGCAAGGGUGGGGUGGGGGAGAGAAGAGUUGUGAGAAGGGAAUUUGAAUUUUGAUUUGAUCAAUCGGGGAUUUAGACUUCCCUUGCAUUUGUUUUUGUUUUUUGAAAAUUUUUAUUUAAUUAAUUGCUUUAGAAUGUGAUUUAAAAAAGAAUAGAAUCAUGUUUACAUUAUUCAUGUUCUUUCCCUUCUCAUUCCCCUCCUGUAGCCAAUGAGUAAUUCCACUGAGUUUUACAUUUGUCAUUAAUCAAGACCUAUUUCCACAUUAUUAUUUGCAUUAGGGUGAUCACUAGAGUCUACAUCCCCAAUCAUCUCUGUCAACCCAUGUGAUCAAGCAGUUGGUUUUCUUCUAUGUUUCUACUCCCACAGUUUUUUCUCUGGACCUUACAUUUGUUUUUAAUUUGGGGCAAUCAGCAACUAGGGAAUUGAUCCCACAGGGUCUAUCCCCCUGGGUGGUGCCAGGCUAAUUGAAGAAUUGUGAUUGGUUCCUAGGGAGUGAUAGAAGAGAGCUAGUGAGUGUAGUAAGGAUUUAUAAGAUGAAACCAAGCAGGAAACGGGGAAUUAUUUUCUGAGGCCAAGAUUUGGAGACACACUGAGUUGUUAGGCUAGGAAAUUUUUUACCUCCUUUCCAUAUUUUUCUCUUUCUUUUUCUUAUUAAUAAAUCUAGCUAUUAAUAGUCUUGUGACUUAAGGGUUAAUUACAAUUUUUGGUGACCAACCAUUCUAAUCAUUACACUAUUCAAAGCCAAAAUGGAGUUUGGACAGAUUAAAGACAGAUGUGCUGGUGGGCUGAUGGGUGGGCUGCCAGGUGGUGCAAAGAUCUUCUCUGUCUGCUCAGAGUUCUGACACCAGACACAGGCACUGGUAGAGGUUUCUCUACUGCUUAGUUCUUCUGCUUUCAUUUAAAGGGUUAUUUGGGGGGGGUGGCAUUGCUGAGGGGCUGUGGAGCACCAUGUAGAGAGGCAGGAGCUGAGAGAGAAAGCAUAGUACUACACUGUAAAGUUAUCAAGUGUUAAAAGUUAAAUGGAAGAGGAGGCAGUUAGGUAUCACAGUGGGUAAAGUGCCAGGUCUGGAUUUAGGAGAACCUGGGUUCAAAUGUGGUCUCAGAUACUUCUUAGUUGUGUGACCCUGUGCAAGUCACUUAACCCCAUUUGCCUAACCCUUGCUGUUUUUCUAUCUUAGAACUAAUACUCAGACACAGAAGAUAAGGGCUUAAAAAAGUUGAAGUGAGAACUGUCUCUCGGUUUUAGGCAUUAAGUGGAUGUCUUAGAACAUAUUCCCCAUGGAUAAAGUGGAGGUGGGGGAUAAUACUAUAUAAAAAUGUACAAUGUACUUUAUUAUUACUACAUUUAAUGUUGUUAAUCUCUUAUGUGUUUAAUUUAUCAAUUAAAAUUUAUUAUACUUGGGGGUAGCUGGGUAGCUCAGUGGAUUGAGAGUCAGACCUAGAGACUCAAAUCUGGUCUCAGACACCUCCCAGCUGUGUGACCCUGGGCAAGUCACUUAACCCCCAUUGCCUAACCCUUACUGCUCUUCUGCCUUUGAACCAAUACAAAGUAUUGAUUCUAAGAUGGAAAGUAAGGGUUUAAACAUUUUUAUUAUAUGUGUAUAUAUAUAUAAGAAAAUCACAUUACAUAUGUUAGUAAGUGUUCCCCUAUAUCUAAUAUUUCUCCAUAGUAGGUCUUGUUAUGUAUUCCUUGUACAAACAUGGCCCUUCUCUCUGUCUCCUCUCCCUACAUCCCUCCCGAUCUCUCAUCUAAUAAAAUAAAAAAAAAACCACUCUUACUUUCUGCCUUGGUAUCAAUUCUAAGACAGAAGAGCAGCAAGAUGGUAUUAAGUGACUUGCCCAGGGUCACAUAGCUAGGAAGUAUCUGAUCCAAUUUUGACCCCAGGCCUACCACUCUAGCCACAGUGCUAGCUAGCUUCCCUCUCCCCUUACUGUAUCACUUGAGUUUGGCAGCUCUAGUGGGACAUCUUUAGAGUGGCCAAAGAGGCAUGGAUUGAAUGGUUUUAGGAUAAUGAUUUUCCAUGGGUAUGCCAAAAAUUGAAUGGCUGUUCUGUUUGAGGAGACAAACGGAGCCAUUUAACUCUCUUUUGUCAUGUUGAAUUUUGUCUAUUUUUUUUUGAGAAUAUCAUUAUUUGCAACCUGAACAUGACUUGUGAAUCAGAAAUUUCUAGCUGUGAGCUGGCUCUGUCUGUCAUUGAUUCUUUCUCUAAGCACCAAUGUUUAUAAGAAUCUUUCAAAUGGGCUCAAAAGCAUUAGAUUGGAAAAUGUUGUCAUAUUUCAAAAAAGAGAAGCAGAGUUGUCAUGGGAGCUUAAGCUGCUUCCACAACACAGAUAAGCUGGAUAAUAAUAAUAAUAAUAAUUAGAAAAAGAAUAGCUGGCAUUUAGACUGUCUUCUUUGUACCAGGAACUGUGGUAAGCACUUCACAAAUAUUAUCUCGUUUGAUUCUCUCGACAAUCCUGGGAGAUGCUAUUUUCUCCAUUUUACAGAUGAAGAAACUGAGGCAAACAGGUUAAGUGUUACCCAAUGUCAUGAGGAUGGAUUUAAACUUGGGUCUUCCUGACUCCAGGUCAAACAUUCUAUUCACUACAUCACCCAAUUGCCUCUAAAUGAAUAGAAACUAUUUCUUUCAGGCUUGUGCUUAAAACAGAGUACAGAUUCCUCCCUGUGCCCCCAAGUCUCCUUUAAAAUAUCUCCCCCAGAACUAGCACAAUAUCCCACUUAUUGUCUGACCAGGGCAGAGUAUAUAGGAAGAUUUUCAAGCCAAUACACAGUAUUGACUCCAAGAUGGAAACCCUAUAAAAGGGUUAAAAAAAAUCUAGUUCUAUAUGUCUAUAUCCCCAUCUCUCUGGAAGUACAUAUAUACACUAUAUAUCAUGGUGGCAUGUACUAUAUACAUUGUAGGGGUAUAUACACACCACACAUAUAGAUUUAAUAAAUUAUCUAUACCCAUACUACACGCUAGACACUAAUGACACAAAGAUAAAAAUCAUACGGUCUCUGGCCUCAAGGAGUUUCUAUUUCACUGGGGGAAUUACAACAUCUUUAGAGAAGCAUAAUACAGGUUUGAGUGUGGCAGGAGCAAAGGAAAAAUCUAGGCAAAGAAGCCUAGGACAACAUGAGGAGGGCAUGGACACAUUUAGCUAGGGGGAUUAGGUUAGGGAAGGUGGCACCAGAGAUGAGCCUUCAAAGCAGAGAGAUUCCAACAGGUGGAGACCAUAGCUUUAGACCUGGGAGCAGAAGUGUGCUAUAGACAGCUUGUACAGGCUUAUGGGAACCAGUUGUUGAACUUUCUGAGUGAUCAUUUAUACCUCACUAAUCAGCAAAUAGGGUGGCUAGGUGGCACAGUGCCAGGCUUGAAGCCAGGAAGACUCAUCUUCCUGAGCUCAAAUCUAGCCUCAGACACUAGCUUGGUGACUCUGGGCAAACCAUUGGUUUGCCUCAGUUUCCUCAUCUAUAAAAUGAUGUGGAGAAGGAAAUGACAAACCACUCCAGUAUAUUUGCCAAGAAAGCUUCAAAUAGGGUCAUAAAGCAUUGGAAAUGACUGAAACAACUGAACAAAAAUCAGCAAAUAGCACACACAUCAGAACUUGGGUUUAUUGUUUUGUGGAUUGUCUAAAUUUAAUAAAGUGAUGGAGAAAAUGUCGAUGAUGCAGAUUCAAGUUAAAAGUGUCAUGGGCACAUUUGUUUUUUCUGCUGGAGAGCCAGUUGUCAAACAUUUACCAGCGUUCUGCUGCAUGGAAGGGACCUCAGAGACCAUCUAGCCUUCCAGUGCUUCACCAAUCCCAGAUGGAGAUCUUCAGAUUGUUCUGAAAAAAGACUGGAGGGGUUGAGCUUCUGGUAAACUCAGUUUAACUGUGACUCAGCGUGAAGUGGUAACCACAAAAAGCUAAUAUCUUCUUGAGCUUCAUUUAGAGGCAAAGUUUCCAGAAAUAGGGAGGUGAGCAUCCCACUGCACUCUGCCCCAUCAAACGUCUCCAACAGAAUUGUGUUCACUUGUGGAAACCAGAUUUUAAGGAAGACUUUGAUAAACUAGAGUGUCCAGGGGAGGGCGACCAAGGUAAAGACCCUUGAGUAUAUUUCAUAUGAAGACCAAUUGAAGAAACUUGGAACAAAAUGGUAGAAAGUUCAUUUAUUCAUUCAUUAAACACUCUGUACUAGGCACUGUUGAUAAGAGGAAAAAAUGUCAAACUCAAUAGCCUUGUCUUGGAAGGCCUUACAGUCUACAGGAUUAGUAACACUGACACAGGUGGGUGAGUGUUUAUUAAUUAAUCUGGAGAGAAAGGGAGUAUUAGCUGCCCCCCACUUCUACUUAAAUAACUCACAUACCUCUAGACACCAGAGGGAAGAUAUCUAUCUAUUCUGUGAUAUCAUUCCAACUUCAUAUUCUCAGGCAGGACCUGUGAUUUCAUCAAUGUGGGGAAAUUCCUAGUGUGGAAACUCCCUUUUGUAAAAGUUAAAAUUAAAUUUAACUGCCAGUUGAAUACCAGUAAUGUGAUCUUGCCAACAUGGAGACUCAGGAGAGAUUAUAGGGAAUUCUGGGAAAUACCAAGGACUUCUGGGGAAUGAAGUCUAAGGUUCAAAAUCUCCCAUUUAUGUAUUUUGAUACAGUUCAGUAAUUCAUUUCAUCUAUCCCUUAGAAGUGGAUAGAGAGCCAGGACUGGAGUCAGGAAGACCUGGGUUCAAAUCUAGCCUCAGAUACUUCCUAGCUGUGUGACUCCUAGUCACUUAUUUCCAUUUGCCUAACCCUUGGCCUUCUUUCUUGUAAUUGUUACUAAGACAGAAAGUAAGGGUUUAAAAUAUAAACAAAUAGAUAAGUUAAAUGAAGAAAUAAUAAUAAAGUAGAAGCUCGGGCAGUGGAAGUCGGAAAAGAGAGGCUGGAAUAAUCUUAUAUUCAUGGUUACCCUGACUCUAGAAGUCAAAGGAAAAAUAUACAUCCUAUUGAUCUCUAUUUCCAGUGUCUCUCCUUUUUGUCCUCCACAGAUCUGCCAACAUAAUCUAUACAAUGCAUAGGUCUGAUCCCAUCACUCUCUUGCUCAGGAAUUUUGAGUGGUUCCCUAUUUCUCUUAGGAUAACAUUCAAACAACUCCACUUGACACUAAAUUCCCUUUAUAGUUUAGCUAUAGACUACCUUUCCAGAGUUGUUUUACAUUAGGAAAAAGGGGAAAAACAUUCCAAUAGUGCCUACUACAUGCCAUGAGCUAUGUGUUUUACAAUUCUUCUCUCUCUUAAAACAACUCUAGAGAGUGGUGCUAUUAUUACCCCCAUUUGACAGAUGAGGAAACUGAGGCAGACAGAGGGUUAAGUGAUUUACCUAGAAUCAUAUAGCUGGAUUUAAACUCAGGUUCUUCUUCAUUCUAGGUCCAGUGCUUUUCUCUAUCCACUGCACCUCCAGGUGCUUCCUCAUCAUUCAUCUCACUUUGAAGCUAAUACAUCUUGCUUGCUAUUUCCAGUCCCCAGCAUUCCAUCUCUUUCUUCUGACUUAGCAGAGGAGAGUCCCCGUGCCUGGUAUAUAUCCUUCCUCACCUCUGCCUUUUGGAAGAUUACAUCAUUAUUGAAUUGUUUCAGUUAUGUCUGUCUCUUCAUGACCCCAUUUGGGGUUUUCUUGACAAAGUUACUAGAGUGGUUUGCUAUUUCCUUCUUUGGUUCAUUUGAGGAAACUGAGGCAAACAAGGAGAGUCUGUAUUUGUUCUUGAAGUAACAAGUAGCUAUUAAAGCUUAUUAAGCAUCAGAGUGACUUGGUUGGACCUGUGCUUUAGGAAUAUCACUUUAGCAGCUUUAAUAAGAAGAAACCUCACAAGCCUACAAAGCUCAGCUCAGUUUCUGCCAUCUCUGGGAAGCCUUUCUCAGUUAUCCUGAUUGUUAAUACUCCCUUUCUCUCCAGAUUAAUUUACACUCCCCACCCUGGGCCAGUGUUACUUAUUCUGCAGACUGUAAGGUCUUCGAGGGCAACACUAUUGAGUUUGUCAUUUUCUCUCUUAACAACAGUGCCUAGCACAGAGUGUUUAAUGAAUGAAUCAAUCAAUGAACUUCCUACCAUUUUGUUUUUCUGUUCAUUUUUCUUGUCUUGCUGAGAGAAGCUCGACGUUCAUAAGACUGUGAUGCCUCUGUUUCAUAGAGACUUCUAUCAUUAUUCACAGCAAUAACUAGAAAUUGAAAUCUUUACCAGAAUGUGUAGCUAUUCAUUCCCUAGAUCAACCAAGGCACAGUCUUGAUGGUUGUCCCAGUAUUUUCUCCCUUGAGGGUGGCAAUGCCAGGGGAGGGAAGUCAGAACACAUACACACAUAUAUAAACACAGAUGACCUGAAUGGUUCUCUCUCUCCCUCUUCCCCUCCCCCAGAACAUUCUUCAGCAGCAAUAAUAUCCCUUAUUCUACUGGAGACUCCCUUUUGACAAACAAGCCAGACUGGGCUCAAUCUAGUAUUGUUCAGAUGAGCCUUUCACCAUUGAGGCUGGGGCCAUUCCAAUGGACUCAGACUUCUUGUGUAGCCACAGGCUCUCCCGUAAUUUUUCAGAUCUCCAGAUCUCUUCCGAUCCAAGAAUCAGGAUUAGAAGGGCUCCUUCAUCUUCCUUUUUUUAAAACCCUUACCUUCUGUCUUAGAAUUCAUAUUAAACAUCAGUUCCAAGGCAGAAGAGUGGUAAGGGCUAGGCAAUUGGAGGUUAAAUGGCUUGCCCAGAGUCACAUAGCUAGAAUGGGUGAGACCAGAUUUGAACCCAGGAUUUCCUAUCUCCAGGGCUGGCUCUCUUACCCAUUAAGCUACCUCACUGCCCCACUGGAUCCUUUCGAAAGGGUCUUGGACUGAGUUUUUAUGGAAACUAGGGAUUCUCAGAUGUGGAGGUGAACAUGGAGACAGUCUUGAAAGGCAUGAGGAGAAGAGAUGGGAUGCCAUGUAUGAAGGAGAGAAAUUAGGCUACUUUGACUGAACAAACCUUUAAAGGAAGGGUGGAACUAAGUUGUAAAAGGCUUUAAGUGUCCAUUAGGGGAGUCUCUUUAUUUGUUCUUGAGGUAACAAGGAGCCAUUGAAGUUUAUUGAGCAUCCAAGUAACUUGGUUAGGCCUAUGCUGUAGGAAUAUCACUUUAGCAACUUUAAUAAUAAUAAUAACUAACAUUUAUAUAAGUAUUUACUAGAUAACCACACACUGAAAUAAGUGCUUAACAAACAUCUCAUUUUGACAAACAAAUCUGGGAUAUGCUUGCUAUUAUUAUCCACAUUUUACAGUUGAGGAAAUUGAAGCAAACAGAAGUUAAAUAACUUGCUCAAGGUUACAUAGCUAGGAAGCAUCUAUGGCUAGAUUUGAAUUCAGGUCUUCCUGACUUCAGGACCAGCACUCUAUCCACUACGCUACCUUGCUACCCACUAAUAAUAAUAAUAGCUUGCAUUUAUAUGGCCCUUCAAGAUUUACAAGUACUUUCCCCUUAGGAAUUCUGCAAGGUGGACACAUUUUUCUUCUUUUAUUCCCCAAUCACAUGUAGAAACAAUUGUGACAAUUUUUAUCUGACAUUUUACAAUUCAUAUUUCUUCCCUCCUCCCUAAAGUAGUAAAUAGUCUGCUAUAGGUUAUACCAGUGCUGUCAUGCAAUACAUAUUUCCAUAUUGCUCCUGACAGAAAAUAUAUAUUGCACACGCAAUAAAGAAAACUCAUGAAGAAAAAAGUGAAAAAUAGUAUGCUUCCAUCUGCAAUCGGACUCUGCCAGUUCCUUCUUUGGCUGUGGGUAGCAUUUUUCAUAAUGAGUCUCUUGGGGUUAUCUUGGAACCUUGCAUUGCUGAUAAUGAUUCAGUCCUUCACAGUUGAUUACUAUGUAAUUUUUGUUUCUAUAUUCAAUGUUCUCCUGGUUCUCUUCAGUUCACUUUGCAUCAGUUCAUAUAAGUGUUUCAGGGUUUUUUUGAAGUCAUCCCAUUCAUCAUUUCUUCUUAUAAUCAUGUACACAAUUUGUUCAGCCAUUCUUCAAUUGAUGGACAUCCUUUCUGUUUCCAAUUCUUUGCCACUACAGAAAGAGCUGCUAAAAAUAAUUUUGUAGGUCCUUUCUCCCUCUCUUUGAUCUCUUUGGAAUACAGACCCAGUAGUGGUAUUGCUGGGUCAAAGGGUCUGCAUAGUUUUGUAGCUCGUCAGGCAUGAUUCCAUGUUGCUCUUAAGAAUAGUUGGAUCAUUUUCCAGUUCUACUAACAAUAUAUUAGUGUCCCAAAUCUCCCACAUCCCUUCCAACAUUCAUCGUUUUUCUUUUUGGUUAUAUUAACCAAUCUGAUAGGUGUGAGCUGGUAUUUCAGAAUUGUUUUAAUUUGUAUUUCUCUAAUCAACAGUGAUUUGAAGUAUGUUUUCAUAUGACUAUAGAUAGUUUUAAUUUCUUCCUCUGAGAAUUGUCUGUUUAUAUUCUUUGACCAUUUAUCAAUUAAGAAAUGCUUUGUAUUCUUAAAAAUUUGACUCAGUUCUCUAUAUAUUUGAGAAAUGAAGCAGAUUUUCUCCCUUAUUUAUAGAUAAGGAAACUGGAGCUAGCAUGUAAGUGAUUUAUCUAGGAUCACACAGCUAGUAUUGGUAAAUAGAAAAACCAACCAGCCAUAUUGGAAAAUAUUUCUCAUUUUUUCCUGUAUUGACUGUGUUGUUGUUCAGUCAUUUCAGUUGUGUCUGACUUUUCUUGACCCCGUGUGGGGUCAUUUUGCCCCCAUUUGCCAUUUUCUUGGCAAAGAUGCUGGAGUAGUUUGAUAUUUCCUUCUCUAGCUCAGUUUGCAAUGAAGAAACUGAGGCAAACAAGGGCAAUAAGCUGAGUACAAAUAACCAUGUAAUGUUAUUCACAUUGUCAAGAUGUUUUGCAGAUAUAGUUCAGUAGAAUCAGAAAUGAACUUGUAAUUACAGAACCUGCAUUCAAAUUCUGUUUUUUGUUUUGUUCUCAGGAAUUAUAAGUACUAAUUUCUAUUCUUUAAAGAGGAAACUAAGGCCAAGGAAUGGUUAACUUGCCCAAGGUCAUCUACAAUAUAAUCAUCUUCCAUGUACCUGAAAAUUGUGUUUGGUUCAACCCACAUCCUUCUCUUCCCCAGACUAAAUAACCCCAGCUACAUCAAUCUUUCCUCAUAUGUCUCAUUUUCCUUCUGGCUAUCUUUCUGAGUUUUAUCUGAAUUGUGGCCCAGAACUAUAAAUAACAAGAGUUUGAUCAGGGUUCAACCCAGUUUUUGAUAUCAAGAGAAUUUCUUCUCCUAUUCAUGACUGUUUCCACAGUUAUAAAAGGAGGUUGUUGUUCAGUCAUUUCAGUGGUAUCCAAUUCUUUUUGAUCCCAUUUGGUGUUUUCUUGGCAAAGAUACUAGAAUGAUUUGCCAUUUCCUUCUCCAGCUUAUUUUAUAGAUGAAGAAACUAAGGCAAACAAAUUUAAGUGACAUGCCCAGGGUCACACAGCUAAUAAGUAUCUGAAAUCAGAUUUGAACUUGGGAAUUCUAGGUCUGGCACUCCUUGCUAUCCCGCUGCCUCACAAAAAGAGAACAUUAGAUUUUUUUCAGUUAGGAAGACAUAGGGCUAAUUAAAAUUUUUAGUUCCCUCUGGCUUUCAGUGAAAUAGAAGGUGUUCUUACAGCAGAGGCUUUUCAUGUAUUCAGAACAGUAAAAGUCAUUUAAGACAUCUCAGUCACACCCAUCAUUUGCAAUUGAAAGAGUGACCAACUUUAUAUUCUGGAGAAUAAUAAUAGAUGGCAUUCACAGUUUUGAGACUUGUAAAGUACCUUACAUAUAUUAACUCAUUUGUUGCUACACCAACUUGAUGAGCAAGUAAGAUAGAUGUUAUUAUUAUUACCAUUUUAUAGAUUAGGAAACUGAGGCUCUGGCAAAUUACAACUUGCCCAGACCCAGGCCUCUCUUAACUGCAGGUCAAGUUUUCUUUCCUCUAAAUCAGAGGUUCUUAACCUUUUUUUGUGCCAUGGACCCCUUUCAAAAGCUGGUAAAACUUUUAGACCCAUUCCUUGCCUACAUUCAUUUCAGCUAGAGACUAGUGAGUAUGAAGAUGUUAUUAUUUUUCCCCAUCCAUGUUCAUGGACCCCAGGUUAAGCACUCUUACUCCAUGCCCUCCUCCUUAAUCUGUUAAAAGAUGUCACAAGGUAACAGAGAUCCUAAAUUGGACUAGAUGAUUAUAAUUCUGUUGCACAUUUCCCUAAGACAUCCAGCACACCCAGCCGAAGCACAAGAUUCCUAAACGAACCUCCUGAAAUAUUGUUUUUGUUCAGUUGUGUUCAACUCUUCAUGAUCCCAUUUGGGGUUUUCUUGGCAAAGACUAGAGUAGUUUGCCAUUUCCUCCUCCAGCUCAUUUUACAGAUAAGGAAACAGAGGCAGAAUUAAAUGACUUGUCUAGGGUCAUAUAGUAAGUGUCUGAGACCAGAUUUGAACUCAGGAAGAUUAGUUUUCAUGAUCCAGGCCUGGCACUCUAUCCACUGUGCCACCUAGCUGCCCCCAAGCAAAACUGUUGAAGUCCAUACAAUGUCUGAUUUUUCCAAUGACCUAAUUAUCUGUAUGAUCUCUCUGUCUCUCUCUCAAUUCUUUGUAAUAAGAGAUGGUUCUUUGGAAUGGGUCAGGAAGGAGAAUACAGACAAAAUCUAGGUAAUGUCAAAACAGAAGGUUUUUUUUAAAAAAUGUCUUUAAAGAUCCCUAAAUUUUCUCCCACAACUAAUCCCAUGGUAAGGGAAUUCUGUGUAAUCCUACUGUUUGUCAGACAAUAACAUGGGGGAACAUCCAUGUCCUCUUUCUGGAUAAGACACCUAUUUGCCAUCCUCUCUGUUGAGAUUUAAAAACAAAAAACAAUGCCCAGCAUUUCUUUACAGAUUUCAUUAGGUCUCUCCAUUCUUGUAUAAGAAAAAAACUAUAUGGGCCAAAUAGUAAUGCUUGGCCUCCCACAAUCCUGGAGAUCCAAGCAAAAGGUCAGCUAUCCCCACACCACUCCGCCAUCUUUGAUAGAAAGAGCCAGGCUUGCUGAUUCUCAUUUUGUGGCUUGAAAACCUAGCUAGAACAGCUAAAUAACUUGGAAGCACGUAUUAAGUCGAAGGUAGAACAGGGAGGAAUAAACAAGUUUCUUCUUUGUUCUAGUCCUGAAUAGAUUCCAAUGGAUUCUUUCUGACUAGGUGUAUUUAUCUACCUGGUGCUGCCAUCCAUGGGUACAAGGGUGUAUGUGGAGGAGAGAAAAGAUGUAGGAAGUGAAGAAGAUAUAGAAGGGAUUAGAGGGGGAAGGAGGAAAAGAGUGAAAAAGCCAAGAGGGUAGUCUGUAGACUGACAAAACAUUUUGUAAAAUCCAGAAGUCUUCUCAAAAGCUGUACAGCUCUGACCACCUUGUUUAUACCCAGUGUCCUCAAUUUCCCUAAAUAUUUGAGUCCUUUAGGGCAGAGGGUCUUCAUCUGGGGUUUACGAACUUGCUUUUUUCUUUUAAUAACUCUUUGAAUAUUUCCUUUGUAAUCCUAUCGAUAUAAAACACAUAUGUGUUAUAUACUAUGUAUAAUAUACUCUAUACUCUAGUUAAUAUAUCCAUAUAUUUGAUAUUAUAUAAUAUAUAAUUUUAUUAAUAAUAUAUAAUUUAUUACUUUUAUUAAUUUAAAAUAUUAUCCUGAGAAGGGGUCUAUGGGCUUCACUGCCAAAGCAGUCCAAGGCUCACAAAGAAUUGAAAAACCCCUGCCUUAUGGGAAUCUUGGGCCCCUUGAGAAUGAGUGCUGGGUACUGUGGUAGAGGGCUGAGGGAGGAGGAGGCUGGUUGAGAGAAGAGAUUAGGGGCCUGGCAGCUGAGGUGCCAAAAUUAGAAUCCCAUCCCCUGAGACUCACAGAAGCUGUGAGGGGGAGUUGCAAGCCUGAUCCGUGCCAAAUCUAUGCCAGAUCAAAGACACAGGAUCUCUGGGAAACCUCUUUCAACCUAACCCUCCAAACCCAAAUUUUAACCGAGCUGCCAAAGCUCCCAGUUACCAACCCACCAUUUUAAAGAUCUCCCUUAAGAGACAGAAUAGUCAUUCUAAUCCUGACUACCUCUGGGGAGAUCAGUGAAGCUUCACCCUGGGGAGACAAAGUGGCAGUGAGCAGAUGCUGGACUUGGGAGUUCUUAAGUUUGAAUCCUGCCUCAGCUGUUUGACCCUAGGCAAGUCUCUGAACCUCAGUUUCCUGCAAAAUAGAAUCAAUAAUAACAUCUUUGCAAACCUUAAAAAAUGCUGUAUAAACAUGAGCUAUUAUAAUUUUCUCAUCUCCGAAAGCUGGCCUUAAAGUCAGGAAUUUGUAGCAAUGGCAUUUAUGAUUUCAUUGGUACAGAGUUCAGCAUCUUCUUUGUAUCGGAGGCAGAAUCUCAAGCUAGAUCUUCUUGGCUGUCUGGCCAGCUCUCUGGCCAUAUCCAAAUGUCUUCUGACAAGUUAUGCUGAGAUCUUUUUAACUUUGGGGACUUCAGCUAAGGCUGGUAUUACCACACCUGUUGAUCCAACAGGUACCGUGUAAGAGAUGAGAUAUUAAAGUGUGCUUAUUUCAAAGACAGCCUGUAAAUAGAGACCUAUAUUAUUAUUUUUCAUCAACACCUCUCUAGUCCUGGAGUUGUUAAUUUGUGGACCUGCUGCCUCAUGUGUAUGUAGCCCCAAGUUUAUCAGACUCCCUUUCCAGACUUGUACUUCUCCCUCUCAAUUCCAAUCCAACCAAUCAACAUUUAUUAGUACCUACUGAAUACAAGGCACUCCUUGGCUAAGUGCCAGGGAUACAAUUAACAAAAAGAAAAACAAUUCCUGUCCUCAAGGAGCUUACAAUCUAAUGGGAGAAGAAAACACUAAAAAGGAGGCAGGCAAUGAGAGGAAGGAGGAAGAGAGUAUCUGGCUCUAUAAAGUUGAAACCAGGCAGAGGAGCAAAUGCAGAGUGAGUUCAAAGGUCCAGUUUCUACCCUCUAUAAAGGAAGGCACUGGGAGGAAUUUGCUGCUCUCCAAUCCUCUAAUCAGAGGGGAGGCAAGAAGUCAAGUCUUGACUUAGCAGCAUGGUGAUGACAGUAGAUGGGGAUGAGCUUAACCUGGAAGGGACAUCUUGUCCCUAUGAUCCAAGAUUAGUAUAUUAGGCAAGGCAAGCUAAUAUGGGCAGAUUUCUAGUGGUCUUAACCAUCACCAUAGUUCCAAGGGGAAAAAAAAAAGAUCUCUUAUUCCCCAUUUCUUCCCUCUCAACAUCUCAGGAACAGGUAGUACUCCUGGUAUUUCCUAUCAUUAGAACUUCCCCCUAAGUCCUUCUGAGCCCCAGCGAUUUACCACCCCAAUCUUAGCAAUGUUCCUGGGAGGCCCCAGCCAGUGCAAAUCCCUGAUGUGGACUCACAUAUCUUUGGCAUUAUGGCAUAAAGCCUACAUCCUUUUGAGGGAGGCAGCUGCCUAGGACCUGCAGAGAAAGGGCAUUCCAGACCCUGUCUAAUGAAGAGAUUAGGAAAGACCUUGUCACCCACCAACUACCAUGUCUCUCUCCAGAUCCAAAGCUUUUCUUUCUGCAGUUAUCCAGAAAGGUCUUCCUAGUGAAAUCCUCUCUUCCCCUACCUUGGUUCUCCCACAUAGAUUUCCAUUUGCUAAGACUGCAAAAGGAAGCUUGCCCUCUGAUCUAUGAUGGAUGACUUACCCUUGAGCUCUAAGCCUGUGCCUUUCAUUCAUUACCCCUCCCCUUCAAGCCCAGCUUCCAAAUUACUGGAAUGGUCACUGCCCAGUAAGGCCCAAGGUCCCUUCUAAAGUUGCCUGGCAAAGAGCCACCUCAUCAUGACUUAGCGCCUGAAAGGACAGCAUGUACCCUGUCUGAAGGUUGCCUUCUUAGAGGCUGGAUCAGCUGUACUUUCAUGUUUGAAGGGACUGGCCCUAGUCCAGUUUGGGCCAGGCCCCUUUUAAAUCACCAAUCAUUCAACAAGCAUUUUAUUAGGCUUUUAUUCUGUGCAUUGUGCUAAUUCAUCACCAAAUAUUUGCCAAGUGCCUACUCUAGUAAACUUGGGGAUAUAUGAAAAAGGGGAAAUGGUCCCUGCCCUGAAAGAGUUUAUAUUCUAAUUUUUUUCUUUCUUUUUCUUUUUUAAUUUUUAUCAUUAUAUUUUCCUUCUUUAUCACCAAAUUUUUCCAAUACCUCUUUCCUCUUUGUCCCUGAGGACCAUCCAAUACAACAAAUUAUAUAUAUUUAUUUAAAUUUAUUUAAUUUAUAUUUAUUUAAUUUUAAUAUUUAAAAUCCUUAACUCCCAUCUUAGAAUCAAUACUGUGUAUUGGUUCAAAAGCAGAAGAGCAGUAAGGGCUAAGCAUAGGGGUUAAAUGAUUUGCCCUGGGUCACAUAGCUAGGAAGUGUCUGAGGCCAGAUUUGAACCUAGGAGUUCCAGUCUCGGCUCUCAAUCCACUGAGCCACCCCGCUGCCCCUAACAAAUAAUAUUUUUAAAGAAAUAGAAGGGAGGAAAUUAGCAAAACUGAUCAAUAAUCAAUAAAGUCUGAAAAUAUGUGCAAUAUAUCUUCCACUGUGAAAUGUGCCCAUGUACCUUCCACUGCAGCAAUGAAUGGAGUGGGGAGGAUGCUUCUCAAAUCUCCUCUUUUUUGGUGGGGAUUCUUGUUCAGGCAGGGAAUGAACCAGAUGGCCUCUGAGUGCCUUCCAGCUCUGCCUCUAGGACUGUAAAAGGGACAUAUUAAACAGGAUGCGCUUACGGGCUAAAUCACUCCUGUGACUAGAGCCAGAAGGCAGUCAUUUCUCCAUGAGUUUGAAGAGCUCAUGCCCUCUGCCCAAUCAUGCAUGAGGCUUUCUAGUUUAGUUGCCAUCUUCAUCUUUUGAAAUAUCUUAUUAAUAACAAUGAUAACAAUAUUUUAAGCUCAGAUUUGUCUGUUUUGUUAAGUGAUUACAUAUGGUAUCUCAGAACAGACACCAUAAAGCAUUUAUUAAGCAUCUCUCCUAUUCAGAGAACUAUGCUAAGCCCUAGGAAAGGCAGAACUGGGGAUGCUCAGCCUGCAGAAGAGAAGACCAGAGGGACAUAAUAACUACCUUCACAUAUUUGAAAGGCUGCCAUGGCGAAGGAGGAUCAGACUCGUGUUUGGUUCCAGAGUAAAGAACUAAUUAAGAACAGUGGGUUGGAAAAGUUACAGGCAUAAAUUUAAGCAAGAAGGAAUUCUUUUUCAGGUGUAGGUUUAACUAGAUUCUCUUGAGGUACCCUCCAAACCUGAGACUGUAUGAGAUACAAAAGAAACAUUUUUGUUGUUGUCUAGUUAUUUCAGUCACAUCUGACUCUUUGUGACCCCAUUUGGGGUUUUCUUGGUAAAGACACUGGAGUAAUUUGCCAUUUCCUUCUCUGGCUCAUUUUACAGAUGAGGAAACUGAGGCAAACAGGGUUAAGAGACUUGACCAAAGUCACACAGCUAGUAUAGAAGUCUCCCCCCCCCAAAAAAAAACAGGCAACAAGAUGUUCCUGGAAAAAAGAUGACCUCAUUUGGAGUGGGGGGGGGGGACUGUUUCUGGUGCUUACAGAAAGUCACAGAUCUUCCUUUUAAGGACUAUUCUAAUUAUAAUUCCAGCUACCUGGGAACAAAAGAUUUCUCUGCCAUUGGCCAACAUUUCCAGGAUUAUUUUACACUCUGUGGCAUUUCCCAUCCUACAGAAAGCAUCAAAGCAUUUAGUAAGCCGAUUGUCUCCAUUUCUCUAUAGCUGCAUAAGGAUCCAUGUAUACAAAGAAACACAAACAUUCAUGGGAUUGGUGCCAGCUAAACAGAAGAAAGUACCAUGGUCCAUAUGCAUAGAAGCAAAUUAUAUAGUUAACAGGUUGACUAAAGGGGGAUUUUGAAUUGAAUCCAGUUUCACCCACCCCUACCAUUUAUUAUUAUCUUAUUCUUACCAGUUCUUUCUAGAUUUAUUGGGGAGAUGGCCUAAAGAGUCCACAGAUCAGCUGUCAUCUAAUAUGACUCCAGAUGAUCUUUUGUACAUACCAACUAUUUCCAGGCAUUGGAAAAUUUAAGAUCAAACAUAAAAAACUUGAACUUCCUGGUUUCUUGUCCAAGUCUCGGGUGCUUCCUGAAAAGUGACCACCACAAGUAUCCUUAAGUACCUUUUUUAAACCUUUCAGUCUUAGAAUCAAUAUUAAUUAUCAUUUCCAAGGCAGAAGAACAGUAAGAGCUAGACAAACUGGGUUUAAGUGACUUGCCUAGGGUCACAAAGAUAGCAAGUGAUUGACCUCAGAUUUGAACACAGGUCCUCCUAACUCCAAGCCUGGUUCUUUGUUCACUAAGCCACCUAACUGCCCCUACCCUUAGGUACCUUUAACUAAGAAUGUUUCAGAUACUUUAUCAUUAAAAUCCACUUUUUCCAAAGCCAAAGGGAAUGUGGAAAUAUAAUGCCAUCAAGGGCUUAGGAAAAUUUGUAGACAUUAGUUAAGGCUAUAGCUUUGUGUCACAUCAACUGUAUUGACAUUAGGCAUCUGGAGUGAUUUUUAAAAAAAUAAAUAUAUUACCUGAGAAUGCCGUCCUUUCUUCUUUCUGCCCUAACCUCUACCAUCAUGUCUGUCUGUCUGUCUGUCUCUCUCCCUCUCUCUCUCCAUCUGUCUGUGUCUUUAUCUACUUCUAUAUAUAUAUAUCAUAUAUACUACAUAUAUAUGUGUAUCUAUAGACACACACACAUAUGCAAAAUCAAUAAAAAAGCAUUGUAUUGGUCCUGAGGACACAAUCUGCUUUCAAGGAGAUCAAACAAUGGAAAAGACCCAAGUCUAUUAAGUGCAAAAGAGACAUCUGAGCAAAGGGUUAAAGAAAUUUGAGGAAAAUAAUCAUUUUCAGUUGGGGUUUUGGAGAAUGUUUCCUGGAGGGGGAAGCAACUGAAUUGAGCCAUGAAGGAAAAGAAAAAGGAUAAGGAAAAGAUGAAUGAGGGCAGGAAGAGAAUGAGAGGGGAAAAGAGAAAGGAGUAAGUAUAUAGUUAUCUACUAUUUGCCAGACACCUGUACUAAGUGUAUUAUAUUUAUUAUCUCAUUUGAUCCCCAAGCCAACCCUGUGGGGCAGCUGCUAUUAUUAUCACCCCCAUUUUAUAGUUGGGGAAAUCAAGGCAAAUAGAGAUUAAGAGACUUGCCCAAGUGUAAGAAAUAAAGAAACCUCUGGGCUAUAAUUCUGAGCUGAAAACUGAUUUCAUUCAUGGGUAAAUAGAGUCAGUGGGUCAUCACCAAUCCCAGUCUAUGAUGAAAGACACAUUGUGUAUAUUCACAGUUCUUUUUACAGGAUUUUGACAGUUGGUACAAAUCACUGAUUAACAAAACCCACAUAUUCAGUUGAUAAAUUCUAAUACAAGGUCCAAGCACUUUAUUGUGUCACUACAAUCUUCAGACAAUAUUUUAGGAAAAAGACUUAUUGAUAUUAUAACAGACAAUAACUCACAAGGAGUAAUUUAGAUACAUAAAGUUGUCUCUGACUGCUAAAAUCUGAGGACCCUUCCAUUGACGUAGAGUCCUAGAAAAGUGCAUACUGGGCCUGCUUUUACAGCUGACUCUAGGAUUGCUUCUGUUAUCUUUAUUCAGAGACAGGAGAUAGGGAAGAUGUGUACUUAACAUAAGAAACCCUUAAGCUAGCUCAUCCUUUUCUAUCAGAGUUAAUUAACAACUUGGACUAGACUUUCUAGCUUUCUAGUUACAUAUAUUACUUAAACAGUUAUCAAGGAUGAAUUAGUUUCAUAUGAAAGACAGGAAUAUUGAAAUGCAGGAAACAGUGAUGUGUGGCAGAGUCAGAAAAGGCAGAUUUGGCUUGGAGGGCAAGGGGCAGAAUGCAGGAGGAGAAUUUAGAAUUCUGUGGGAGUGUUCUGGGACAGUUAACAGACAACCAGAAGGAGGGAAGGGGAGACAGGGAGACAGGGAGAGAGGAGAGAAAGGAGAAGGAGAAAGGAGAGAGGGAGAGAGGAGAGAGGAGAGGGAGAGGGAGAGAGGAGAGGGAGAGGGAGAGAGAAGAAAAGAGGGAGAGGAGAGAGAGAGAGAGAGAGAGAGAGAGAGAGAGAGAGAACUGAGACUGUCAUAGCAGUUGGAUUUAGAUCUCUCUCUAAUCCAGAUCUCUAAUCUCCUAUUAUUUGGAUCCUGCAUCCCUGUGAGCUCCAGCCAGCAAUCCCUUCAUCCUUAGAGACAUCUUUGAACUCCUGUGAAGACUGCACUUAUCAUCUUGACUACUUCAGUCUGCUCAUGUACCUCUGCUAACAUCAACCUGAACUUUUGGUGACUUGACCAGCCUGGCCACUAGUUUCCUUAUCCAACUACUAGAUUUGAACUUCAUCAAAGACUUUUUGUUGGUGGGUACAGACUAGGCAGUUAGAUAGGACUAUUGGGAAAGAGACAGAGAGGAAGAUAGAGUAGCUCCAGCUCUGCUGGAGACUGAAGAAAGCCUUGGGGGUCAGAGGGAUCUGGAACAGGUAGAUUUUAAAAUCUAUGGGGAAAAUCCUAGCCCACCAUCCGUCCCCAAAAUCCUAAUUAUCAUCUUUAAUAAACAAACUGUUGUUAAGAGAAGAAGUCAGAUUGUGUUUAUUAGAGCUCCAGGCCUGAAGAUAGCCAGCUUGCUAGAAAAUAUCUGAGGCUACAUUUGAACUCACGUCUUCCUGACCAGACCACACACUCCGUUCCCUGAGAGCUGAGGAGUAAGGAGGCUAAGCAUGCUUUGCCAGAACAUGGAUUCCAUGAAAGGCAGCCUGGCACUGUAGAGAGAGUGCUAACUAUAGAGACUUGGGUUAAAAUCCCUUCUCUGACACCUACUCAUUAGUCAUGAGACCCUGAAUCAGACCCUUAAUCUUUCUGAGCCUCAAUGUUUGAUGAAAUGGAAGAGAUUUCACUAGAUGUCCUCCAAGGUCUCUUCCAACGCUAAAUCUAUGAACCCAUCAUACUACGGACAGGAAUAGUAUGAGAUUAGAUUGUUUUCUCAUAGUAACACAAGACUAUUUCCCAGCUCCAAAUGUUUACAAUGGGUGUAACCCAUGCCUAGGAGUCUAUCUCUCCUUAUCUCUCCAUCCUGCCUUCCCCAGCUUCCUUCAAGUCUCAGAUAGUCCCACUUUCUAUAAAAAACUUUCCUCAGAUCUCUUCCACAAAAUGACUUAAUACGGAAAAAUGUUUUACAUGAUUGCCCAUGUAAAAUCUAUAUCAGAUUGCUUACUUUCACGCAGGGGGUGGGGGGUGGAAGGAAGGAGGGAGGGUAGAAAGGAAGGAGAGAAUUUGGAACUCAAAAUUUUAAAGAAAAUAAAUGCCAAAAAAUUUAUGUGUAAUUUGGGGAAAUAAAAUAUUUUUUAAAAAGGAAACCUUUCUCACUUUCCCUUAAUUUUACAAAUAAUAAUAGAAUGCUAUAUGACUAUAAUAUUAUACUAUCAUAAAUAAUAAUAAAUAAUUUUAUCAUAAAUAAUAAUUAGCUUAUUCCCUCUCAGCGAAUCUCCAAUUUAUCCUGUCUGCUUCUUGUUUGUAUGUAGCUGUUUGCAUGCUAUAUCUCUAUAGCGUUGUGAGCUCCUUGACUGUUUUUUGGCCUUUCUUUGUAGCUCCAGAACUUAACACUGUACCUGGCACAUAGUAGAGACUCAGUAAAAGCUGGUUGAUUGUGUGACUAAAGGUAAUCAGAGUCAGAUUGUGGAGGGCUUUGAAUGUUAGGAUCAGGUUUAUGUUCUACAGGGAAGGUGGAAUUGUUAACAUUUUUUUGAGCAGAGGAGAAACAUGAUCAAAGUGGUAAAUGAGCAAUAUUUUUUUUUUGUCAUUUCUCUAGCUACUUAGGCCUACGACUCUGCUUUGUUCACUGGGAUGGAAUGGGUGAUAUAUAUUACAUUAGUUUCUAUUAGGAUCCAAGCCAUUGACAGAGUGAGACCCUUGAUAAAUGUUUCUUAUAAUAGUCAAUGUAAAUGUCCAUUAGGGCAUAAGAAGCACUUACAGUCUUUGAGAGUCCAUGGACAAAUUUUGGCUGAAAAGCCAGAGUUGCCAUGGUAUAUGCUACUUAAGUUUUUAAUUUUAAUCUGAUCAUUCCAAGUAACUAAUGCCAUUGGGCAUCCCCUCUGGAUAGCUCAUAAGGGGAUUUAGUCUUACUGCACAACCCUCCUGCCUUCUGACACAGGCUUAGCACACAAAUCGACAUGCCUCCCUGUCCAGGAGCUGAGAGAAACCAAGCCAGAGCUAAAGGAAUUCGGGCAGUAGGCCAAAAAAGAAAUUUGGUAAGUGAAACUCCCAAUUUCUUUUUAAUAGCAAAUAGUCAUUUCUGUUAAGGUGGAGCAGGAGAAUGGGAGGAGGAGUGAAUCCUCCUAUCUUUUUCCAUUGUUUAUAUGACCGAAGCAAACUGAAAAGUUUGACAAUUAACAGGAUGAUUCUGGUCCCAAACCUGAUUUAAAAAAAAAAAAAAAACCACAAGGAUUUGUUUGGCCCAAAUGAUCCCAAUUAAAUGAUUCCAAUGCAUAGAUUUAUCCAGAUCAUUUUUCAGCCUUUCAUUCCACUUUGUCUAUGGAGAGACAGACAAAAACGGAAUGACACGGGAAACCAAAGGAAGGAAGGAAUGACUUCUACUAAAGGAAAGAAAGGGCAGAAUCAUGGGAAAGGGCAAUACAAAUUUUGAGGGGGCAAUAACAACCAAUAGGUAGUAACCAUGUAAGGGUUUUUUUUUUUUUUUAACCUGUCUAUAGGGAUAACCUUAAACUCAAAGUUCCUCUGGGAAAAGUACUGACCCAUUUCACAGAUUAAAAAUCAGGUCCAAGGAAGCUAAGAAAAAUGCUUAAAGAUAGACAACAAAUAAAUGCAAGCAUUCUCAGUCUUGUUCAGAGGUUUUACUCAUUAGAUUUCUGUCACUUUGCAAUAUUUUCACCCAUUUAAGCAUUUGUAUCCACAAUUUUAUCAGAGCCUUUAUGAUAACUGAAGCUAUCACUGUGGCGAAUAUUACGAAUUCAGUUUUCAACACAAAAUAGCAGCAGGCUGUUAUCCAAAAGACUCUCAGAAUAGCAGGUCAGUGAAUACAGAGGGUAAAAUAGGGUGCUGUGUUUACUGUUUGGAGACUGAACAUUUACCGCAGAGCAGCUGAUUUCACAAAUUCCAGGGUCAGGCAUGUUUUAGUUUGGGGAUGGGGGUUGGGGUAGGGUGAGAUGACACUGAGUAAGCGUGUGAAAACAUGAGAUUAGACAAUCAACAACAAGGAAGUUAGUCAAGUCAGCACCCAAAAAUUGUUCACAAGAACAGCUGCAAUCCAGAAAUAUUUAGAAGCCAAUCUAUCUGGGGGUGGGUUAUACCCAGUGGGAGGGUAUUUGCAGCUUAUUCUAUUCAUUAUCUCACUCCAGCAACAGGAGAUUAGAAAUAUGGUGGUGAUUUAGGCUUUCAUCAUUUUUUGUUUAGGGAGCCUGGCUCUAAAUCUGAAAGGGACCUUAGAGGUCAUCUAGUCCAGUCCUCUCCACUUGGAGAUGAGGAAAUAGAUCCAAAGAGGUCAGGCAGAUAGCAAGUCCCAAAGUCUACACCUGAACCAUUCAAGUUCCCUUCUCCUUACACUGCACUCUUUUUUUUUUAAUAAUUUUUUAUUUGAUCAUUUCCAAGCAUUAUUCAUUAGAGACAAAGAUCAUUUUCUCCCCCCCCCCACCCAUAGCCGACACGUGAUUCCACUGGGUUUCACAUGUGUUCUUGAUUCGAACCCAUUUCCAUGUUGUUGGUAUUUGCACUAGAGUGUUCAUUUAGAGUCUCUCCUCAGUCAUUUCCCCUCAGCCCCUGUAGUCAAGCAGUUGCUUUUCAUCGAUGUUUUUACUCCCACAGUUUAUCCUCUGCUUGUGGAUAGUGUUUUUUAGAUCCCUGCAAGUUGUUCUGGGAUAUUGCAUUGACCCUAAUGGAGAAGUCCAUUACGUUCGAUUGUACCACAGUGCAUCAGUCUCUGUGUACAAUGUUUUCCUGGUUCUGCUCCUUUUGCUCUUCAUCACUUCCUGGAGGUUGAUCCAGUCUCCAUGGAAUUCUUCCACUUUAUUAUUCCUUUUAGCACAAUAGUAUUCCAUCACCAACAUAUACCACAAUUUGUUCAGCCAUUCCCCAAUUGAAGGGCAUCCCCUCAUUUUCCAAUUUUUGGCCACCACAAAGAGUGCAGCUAUGAAUAUUCUUGUACCACUGCAUUCUUUAAAAGAACAGCAAUAUGUGAUCAAUAAUUAUAUGGAAAAUGUUCUAAAUCCCUCUUGAUUAGAGAAAUGCAAAUUAAAACAACUCUGGGGUACUAUCUCACAUCUAUCGGGUUGGCCAAUAUUAUAGAAAAGUAAUAAAUGUUGGAGGGGAUGUGGCAAAAAUUGAGAUAUUAAUGUAUUGCUGGUAGAGUUGGGAAUUGAUCCAACCAUUCUGGAUGGCAAUUUGGAUAUGCCCAAAGGACUACAAAAGAAUGCAUACCUUUUGAUCUAGCAAUACCACUACUAGGUCUGUAUUCCACAGAGGUUUUUUUUUUUUAAAUGGGAAAGGACCUGUUUGUAGAAAAAAUAUUUAUAGCUGUUCUUUGUGGUGGUAACAAAUUAGAAACUGAGGUGAAGUCCCUCAUUUGGGGAAUGGCUGAACACAUUGUGGUCUAUGAUGGUGAUGGAAUACUAUUGGGCCAUAAGGAAUGAUGAACAGGAGGAUUUCAGAAUUCCUUCAGGAAUUGAUGCAGAGUGAAAUAAGCAGAACCAAUAAAACAUUGUAUACAGUAACAACAAUAUUUAGAACAAUCAAAUGUGAUAGACUUUGCUACUAACAACAAUACAAUGAUCCAGGACAAUUCUGAGAGACUUAUAAAAAAGAGUGCUAUCCACCUCCAGAGAAAGAACUAUUAGAGUAGAAAUGCAGAUGAAAACGUAAGAUUUAUCACUUUUUUAUUUGAGUAUAUGCUUUGGGGUUUUGGCUUUUUAAGAUUAUUCACUUCCAAAAUGGAUAACAUAGAAAUGUGUUUUGUGUAGUAAUACAUGUAUAACCAAGAUUGAAUUGCUUGUGGCUCCAAGAAUCUAUUGCAUGCACAGCAGCCACACCCAAUGAUAUCCUGGGUCCUCUUUGAAAAAGAAAGGAUAAUCAGUGAUAGCAACAACUAUAUGUGAAGCACUGUGCUUGGAAUAUUUUGGAAAGGGAAUUAAUGAUAAUUAAUGCAGUAAUUAACAAUUGUAACAUAUUUUAUUUUAUACUUUAAUAUAUGUUAUUUCAUUUUAUCAUCACAAUAAACCUAUGAGGAACAGUAACUAUUUUAUGAUCAUUUUACAGAUGAGAACACUGAAGUCCAAGGUGGUUAAAUGAUUUGCCCAAAGUCACACAUAUACUAACUCCAUUUCUAUAAAUAUUUAUCAAAUGUGAACUAAGUACAAGGACUGGACUGGGAAUACAAGGUUCAAACAAAUUAAUAUCUGCCCUCAAAGGGCUUAUAGUUGAUUAGGAACCCACAUCUUUCCACUGUACAACAUUACUUCUCUUCUUCCAUCAAAAUCUGACAAAUUACUGAUCAAAAGCAAUUAGCAAACAUUUAUGAAAGGGACAGAUAGGUGGCUCAUUAGAUAGAUAUCUAGGUCUGGAGAUGGGAGGUCUUGGGUUCAAAUUUGACUUCAGGCACUUCCUAGCUGUGCAACCCUGGGCAAAUCACUUAACUCUAACUGCCUAGUCCUUACUUCUGCCUAGGAACCAAUACUUGCUAUCAAUUCUAAGGCAGAAUGUAAGGGUUUAAAAAUUUUUAUGAAAUGCCUACUAUGUGCCAAAGACUAUUAAGUGUUGGGGAUACAAAAAGAGGCAAAAGAUUGUGCCUUCCCUUAAAAUGUUUAUAAUCUCAUGGGAGAAACAACAUGUAAACAAACCAGCCAUUGUUAUUGUUUAGUCAUUUCAGUCAUGUCUGAUUCUUUGUGACUCCAUUUGGGGUUUUUCUUGGCAAAGAUACUGGAGUAGUUUACCAUUUUCUUCUUUAGCUCAUUUUACAGAGGCAGAAACUGAGGUAAACAGGGUUACGUGAAUUGCCCAGGGUCGCACAGCUAGCAAGUAUCUGAGGUCAGAUUUGAACUCAGGAAGAUGUCUUUCCGAGUCCAGGCCUUGCUUUGCAUUUUAUAUCACCAGCAGCCCCAUAACAAGCUAUCGAUGAGAUAAAUGGGAAAUAAUUAUCAGAGGGAAAUCACUAGACUUAAGAGAGGUUCAUACAGUCUUCUUGUAAAAGAAGUUACUACAACAACUGCAAUGAUGAUGAUAAUGGCCACCACCAGGAGUCAUACAUUUAUUCAAUGCAGUACUGUUUUUCAAAUUUUAGCCCCAUAACAAUCCCGUGAGGUAGCACGAGCAUCAUUACACUCCUAUUAGCAAAUUAACCUUAAGUAAUCUACUAGGCAAAAACAAAUUUGUGAAAGCCAAGUGGGAUACAGAUCAUCCCAGAGGAUGGCAAUCCCAAGGAGAAUGCCCUCAAAAGGGAAAUGUCUGCAUGGGGAGCUAUAUUUAUAGCUUUGGUAUCAGAAGCCAAAGCCCCGCCUGUUUUAGGCAGAAAUUAGAUUAAGGAGCUAAAUUUAGACUAGACUGGAGUUAACCAGAUCAUUGGUUUCUCUAAAGAGCUGUGUGCCUCCCUGUGUGUGUGUGUGUGUGUGUGUGAGAGAGAGAGAGAGAGAGAGAGAGAGAGAGAGAGAGAGAUGAGACCAGGAGCUGCUAUGGCAACUCAAUAAGGUCUAGUUAAAAAUAAAAGAUCUGGAAAGAGGGAAUCUUCUCUGAAUUUAUUUUUUAAAAGAAGUAUAGAAUUUUAAAAAAUAAAUUACAACAAUCUACUUUCAAGUCAUAUGCAUAUUAUAUCAGCUAGUGGAAAGUCGCAAAUAAAACGGGCAAAUUAACUUGUAUGAUAUUUUAUAAACAUUCAAAUUUUGAUUUAUAUACAACCUAUUUUGAACAUUUUGCUCAAAAGUAAUCCUUAGAAAUAUUUUAAAUUCUAAUUUGGUAGGAUCUGAAUUGAUGAGUCUUAAUUUUAUUAAAUGAAGCUGCUCUCCUCUUCCCUUCUCUCCCUCCCUUAAACAGUUGGUCAAGUUUUAUUUAACCAGCUGCCCAUGUUGAAAGCAUAGACUAGGCAGUCUUCUCAGAAUCAUUAAAUGGCUGUGAAAUUAAAGGGAACCCAGGGUACUCUGGAAAUAACAGAAAAGAUAAGAGAGAUAGAAGAUAGAAGUUACCAUGCAUUAUGAAGAGAAGGUAGUAUAUGAUUUAAGAAAUAUUAAAAAGCCAAAUCAUAGACAUGAAGAACUUUUUAUUUUUGAUUCGAAGACAUCUGCCUAGAAUUGGUUUCUCUGGGUCAAAGGGUAUAAAUAUUUAGUCACUUAAAAAAAAGUGCAUAAUUCCAAAUUGUUUUACAGAAUGGUCAGAUAAGUUCCACCAACUGUAUGUCUUGAUUUCUUCUGCACAAGUCACCAUUUUUUCUUCAUGCUUUCUUCAUCCCACUUCUUUUAAUCAAUAAAGUAUGAGAAUACUUCCUCGUCUUGGUACCUUCCCUUCCAUUAGAUAUCUUUUAAAUCAGUCCUUCAGUGUCUUCACAGUUUUAUCAUUUAUAGUGUGCAUGUUUUCCUCCCUGCCUCCUUGAAUGUGUCUUUAUCUGUGUGUAUAAAAGUAGACACAGCCAUAGAAUUUGUUUGUGGGUAUAUAGUCAUAUGUGUACACACACACACACACAUACAUGAUCCUCUCCAGCUGCUUUUUCUAUCUUUGUUCUCUUUAGUGCUAUUUGUCUAUCCUCUGUAAGAAUUCAGAGUUGGGGAUGUUAGGGUUCAACACCUUAAAGGUUUCAGUAGGAAAGAAGCAGGUUUUAAAGAAAGAUGUUCCUUAUUUAUUUUAAACUCUUUUCUUCUGUCUUAGAAUCAAUAGUGUAUAUUGGUUCCAAGGCAGAAGAGUGGGAAGGGCUAGGCAAUUCUGGGGGAGGGAGGUAAAUGACUUCCCCAGGGUCACACAGCUAGGAAAACUGUCUGAUUUGUCAAAUUUGUCAAAGUGAUUUGUCAGAAGUGUCAAAUUUGCACCAAGGACCUCUCCGUGCUCUCAAUGCACUAAGCCACAUAACUGCCUCCCAAAAUGUUUCUAUCACACAAUUGAAUGAUAGAUAUUAAGAAUAUAAGAUUCCCUUCUUUAUCUUCUUUAUUGUUUUUAAAACACACAUACACAGAACUUGGUAGAACAAAACAUCACCUUACAGCUUCUUAUAACAAGGUGUCUCCAAAUCAAAUCAUCAGAUCAUUCAACAUUCCUUGGGGGAUGAAACAAUAGAAAUAACUAUUCAACGACUUUGAUCAGAACAGGUAAGCAUAGAACAGGGAUGUAUUUGCUGCAAUGAUGGAGAUUUAGAGCAGAGUUUAGGUUAAAGAAAAAGAAUUCCUUCCAAAUGGAAAGUGCUCCAGAUAUUCCAGUUUCUAUAUGACAUUGUAUUAAUUACAAUCCAAUCCCCAAACAUUCCAGAACCUCUUUGAAGAGAUUUGUAAUCAUACAAAUGAGUUUGGCCUGUUCCAGUGGAAAACUCCAAUGAAGACUCUCUAUGGCCCAGAUUUCAGUGUUCAUCUGAACAGACAUUCUACAGAGGCUGUUCAAUAAUAGACACAGUUAUAGAUAUAGAUAGCUAUAGAUGUAUAUACAGGGUGUCCCAAAAGCCACAGUCCAAUUUUAAGCUUUAUUAAUUUUAGAAAUAUAGGUGCUAUGGGUUUAUUUUUUAAAAUCAUAUCAUCAUCUAAAGGUUACUCAAAUUUCUUUUAUACUUAAUUAGUUUUGUGAACUUUGAAUAAUGAUUUAAUUCUUUGAAGGACCUUUUCUUGGACCAAGUGGAUGAAUAGAGAAGAUCCUCUUGCUUACCUGUUUUAUCUUUUCUUGUGAGUUCACAUUAAAACUAUCUUGUAUGCAUUAAAAACAUCAUUCCUUGGGUGAUCAUAAGGCCAAGAUUACAAAUGCAAUCCUUUCAGUCACUGAUGAGCAACAAUUGAUGUGGCAACCAAUUAAAGUUUUUGGAAAGUCUGAAAAUGGACUAUCGAAAUGCCUAGUACAAGACAAUGGUUACACUGUUAAGAAGCAUAGGCAUUUUAAAUACACAUAUUUUUAAAUACACAUAUUUUCAAAUGUCUUUUGUAAGUUUGUAGCAUUUUACUUCUGGAGUUAUUAAAGUUUAAAGCUGCACUAAGACUUUUGGGAUACACCAUAUAUACAUAUAUGUGCUUAUCUGGGGCAGACAAGAAUCUAGAAAAUGACCUGGACUCAGAGUUGAAAAGGAGAAGAGUGCUUUUGGAGAAUGGCAAAGUACUUGUACUGACCGACCACAUGCUUGCUGCAACAGCAAAAGUCCAUCUUUUGAAUAUGAACAUUUUAUCAGCAUUGCUGUAUAAAAUUGAGAUCUGGAGUACCACCGCCUCAGAAGAACUGAAGAACUCAGCAUACAGAGGACAAUAGCAAUAUCUAUAUAACCAGCAGGGAUUUUUAAAGAAUUUAAAGAGUGAAGGAUGGCCACAAAGAACUGAAUAGACUAAUUAAAAUUUUCAAAAACAAAAACAAAAAAAGAAGUGAAUAACAGAAAGAGGAAAUAGCUCACAUGGGAGAAAUGACAGAUGGUCAGAGUACACUGGUACCCUUUGGACUAGGGUCAUCCUGGAUGGGCAUGCACAAAUGGAUUGCAAUCUGCGCUGUGGGAGGGAACUUCCAUAUCAAUGAGGUCAGAGGGCCAUUUGAAUUUCUAAGUCUUUCUGCAACUUCAACAUGGACUAUUUCCUUUUUUUUUUAAUGUAUCAGCAAAAUUAUUUUAUGUUAUGUUGUUCUUUUUUUAAGCUAUGAAAAUAUUUGUUCUAUUGUCUUGUCCACGUUCAUUUAAAAUAUGCACAUUGUUCAGUGUUUCUUUUGGUGUUUUAGUGUAUCAAAUGAUUAAUAAGAUUUAUUAAGUAUUUACUAUUUGUGGGCACUGGGUUAAGAGCUAGGAUACGAAGAAAUAAAACAUAAACCAACAUGGACUAUUUUCAUCUUAUGUCGUCUUUGAGAAUUUCUUGCUGCUAUUUAUACUAUUUGUGGAUGAGGAAACUGUGACUUGUAAGUUUGUUUCUUGUCAUAACAAGAAAAUGGCAGGGCUAGGAUCUGAACCUAGGUCUCCUGACUCCUACAGGAACCAUUUUGUUCCUUAAACUAUAACUAUUACUUCCCCUACAAUAUCUUUAACUCAUUCUCAUGCCCUUCUCAAGUGACCUUCUGAUCUGGAGGACAAAAAUUCAAGCCUGAAGUAUUAGAGUUAAAUGACAAUGGAAAGUGAAUAUUAUUUAUAUGUGUGUUUGAAUGGCAUUAGGAAUAUUUGUGAUGGCAUCACAGAAUUUGUAAUGGCGUUACAGAAUAUUUGCAAGUUUUUUUUUUUUUAGACUAUCUCCCUCUGCCAGGCAUCUGUAUUUCUUUGGAUUACCCAGGGGUCCCCCCUGUGGAGCUGCCUUUUUCUUCCACCAUUGGGCUUUGUCACAUAUUCUAGACCAAUUUGCAAAUUAUUUAUGAAUUUGGGAUGAAGUUGUAUAAUUAUUACAAGAGGUCUGAAAAUCCAUGUGUGACACUAAUAUUCAGCCUUGACAUUUUGAUCAUUUUUCAGCAAAUGUAUUGUUGGUAGCCUGAAUAAAUAAUAGGUGACACAGUUUUAAAUGUCAUAGUAUAUAAAAUACAAAUCUGUCUGAGAGCAUUUAAGUUCAUAAUGGCUUCAUCAUUAUGUGCUUGUAAUGAAGCAGAAAGUAUCAGGAAGAGCUGUUGUUGUUCAAUCAUUCUCAGUUGUGUCCAACUCUUUAUAACCCCAUCUGAGGUUUUCUUGGUGAAGAUACUGGAGGGGUUUGCCAUUUCCUUCUCCAGCUCAUUUUACAAAUGAGGAAACUGAGGCAAACAGUUAAAUGAUUUGCCCCAGGUCACACAACUAAUCAAUUUCUGAGGUCGAAUUUGAACUCAGGGAGAUGAAUCUUUCUGACUCUGGGCUGGAUGCUGUCUCCAUUAAAACCACCUACCUGCCCUUAAAAAGAGACCUAGGUUUAAACCUUGACUCUGAGCCUCAGUUUCUUCAUCUGUACAAUGAAGAUAAUUAAUCACCAAGUAUUUAUUAACCACUUAGGAUGUGCAGAGUGUUUGGGAUACAAGACCAAAAAUGAAACAUCCCAAUCCUCAAAGAGUUUUCCAUCAAGGAUAUCCUAAUGGGGAGAAAGCAACAUAUACACAUAUAAGCAAAUACAAAUAUAUAUAUACAAAUUAAUUUAGAAAUGGGCACUAGAAUCAGGAGCAAUCAGGAAAGGCCUCCUGUAGGGGAUGGCACUUGAUAAAAACACUUGAAGUAAUUACUUUAGUGGGUUAUUGUAAAAAUUCAAUGAACUGAUGGAACUAUUUUUACUGGCACCUCUCUGCUUUAUCGAUAUUUAUAUACUCAUUUAAUCUAUUUGAUUCAAUCUAAGCAGGACGGAAGGGCCCUCAGGGGAGGGUUCAUUUGAUUUUUGGUGGGGUCUUUUCCCCUAGUAGUACUUUGCUCCUAAUAGGUACUUUCUGGUUGUGCAUUCCUCAAAGGCAUCAACCUGAUCCUGCAUCUGGUUCAUUUAUCACCAAGCAUGGCAUUCUGAGCUGAGCAGCCACUCAAUAAAGGCUCAUUGCGAUUGCCCAAUUUGAUAAAAACUCAUUUACCUUCAAGAAGAAGUCUAGUACAGUGGAAAGCAGAAUCCUUGUGUCUCCCACUUACUAGCUAUGGAACACUGAAUCACUUAGUCACUUAGCUGUCUGGACCUCGGUAUCCCCUCUUGUAAAACAAGAGGAUUAGACCAGCAUAUAGAUCUCUACAACGGAACUCUAUAAUCUAAGCUAAAAGCAACUUAAUGCAUAACCCCUACCAUCUAACAGAAACAACUUAAUAUGCUGGUCCUACUACAUAAUAUGUAACAGCAGUAUUUUUUUUUUCAUGUCAAAUAAAAUGGACAAUGACAGUAUUAGGUUGUUAAGGCCCACAAUCUUCCUUUCUUUUGACAAACAGUAAACUGUAAAACUACACUGUGUCAUGUCUUGGUCUUUUCCAUUGUUUUUCUGCUUACCUGUUUUCAGGAGGGAUAUAGUUUGUUUUUGGUUUGGAUAUUUGUUUAUGUUUCAUCUUCUGACUUAAAAUAAAUUAAAUAAUGAGAAAGGAAUAGUAGUGUAUUUUUGUUGUUCAGUCAUUUCAAUCGUGUCUGACUCUUUGUGACCCCAUUUAGGGUUUUCUUGGCAAAGAUGCUGGGAUAGUUUGCCAUUUCUUUAUCCAGCUCAUUUUACAAAUGAGGAAACUGAGGCAAUCAGGAUUAAGUGACUUGCCCAGGAUCACACUGCUAGUAAGUAUCUGAGGUCAGAUUUAAACUUAGAAAAAUGAGUCUUCCUGACUCCAGGCCCAGCACUCUAGACAUUGUGCCAUGUAUCUACCCCAGCAUUGUAAAAAACUCUAGAAAGAGCAUUUUAUAGAUUUAAUUAUAUAUAUAUAUAAUUAUAUAUAAUGCCAUAUAUAGUUACAUAUAUAAUACAUAUACACAUAUAUGUACAUGUUAUAUACACAUAGCCUAACAUAUAACCAUAUAUAACAUGUAUGUGUAAAGACACAAGGGUGUGUACACAUACACAUAUCACUAGUCUUAACUAGCAAUAGCUUAUCCCAAAGGGGCUAUGGGGAUGUCAAAGUUGGGGAGGGAUGGGAACCAAGUUUAUUAAGCCAGGUACUGUGCUAAAUUAUCUCAUUUGAUCCUCACAAUAAACCUGGGAGGUAGAUACUAUUACUGUUGCCAUUUUAUGAAUGAGGAAACUAAGACAACAAAGGCCCAGUGACUUGCCUAAGGUCACACUAAAAUGUAUCUGAGGCUGGAUUUGUACUCAGGUCUUUCUGACUGCAGGCCUAGCACUCUAGCUGCCUUUAGACUAAGGGGGAGGAGAGUAUUUGUGUGUGGAGCAGGGUUGUGUUGGGAUAGGGGAGAUGGAGGCAGUUUUCAAAUGUUAGCAUGCUGGUGACUGCCUUGUCCAUCUCUCUGUAAUACAAAUCCAAGGCAGGAUUGCACUUGGGUUGGAUUCGGACAACACGAAGGGAUGCUUCCUAGAUCUUAGAAAGAAGCUAUUUGGGACAUGUCAUUUCAUUAAGUGCAAAUCCAUUAGGCUCCUAAAAUGCAUGUCAAUGCCCUGGGGAGACACUUCCAGAAAAUGGGGAAAUAUACUGCUUUCCAACAAAGGUGGAGUGUCCUUGGCCAUGAAAAGGGAAUUGAUUGUCCAAAUAAUUCAAAAGCUAAAGCCUUGCAUCCUUCCAAAUUAUUUAGGUCACUUCCUCUAUGCUGUCUUGGUUCUUCAGAGCCUAACAGAGAUGGGUCCCCACAAUUCUAUGGCAGAAUUAAGAAAUCUACUUGCGAUUCAAUCUCAUAAGUAUUUGGCAAACAUUCUAGAUGGCUCUCUAAGACCCCAGAUUACAUCUGAAUUGCUCAUUUGCAUCAGAGGGGCUUUCCAAACUGAGAGUUCCUUCAUCAAUGAAAAAAUAGGAGCAGCUGCCAUUUUGAUGCUUUUAAGGUUUGCAAAGUACUUUACAUAUAUCACUUCAUUUGACCCUCACAACAACCCUGUCAAAUAAAUUCUAUAGGUAUUAAUAGCCCCCUUUUAGCUCAGGAAGCUGAGACUUCAAAAGGUUAAACAACUUAGCCAAGAUCACACAGCCAGUGAGGUGGGAUUUGUAGCCUGGUCUUUCUGAUUUAAGUCCAGUGCUCUGUCCAUUAGGCAAAACUGCCUCUCUGGAUCUCAGGGUUGUCUCCCUCACCCCACACAUAUUUAAUUGAUGUCCACAUUUUGUUCAGUCUACCUCUGCAAUAUUCCUUGUAUCCUUCUCUACUCACAGGGUCACCCCUAUAGUUCAAGUCUUUAACACUUCUCCUUUGGAUUAUUUUAAUAGUCUCCUAUCUGUUUGGUUGCCUCAAGUCUCUCCCCCUUCAAAUGUCUGUUGCACAUUAAUUUCCAAAGUGAUAUGACUAAAGUCUAAGCCUGGCCAUAUUGCUUGGUAUAAAUUCCAAAGGUCUCCUUGUUUUUCAGUCAUAUCUGACUCUUGGUGACCCCGUGUGGCUUAUUUAUUUAUUUAUUUAUUUUUAUAUAAACCCUUACCAUCUGUCUUGGAGCCAAUACUGUGUAUUGGCUCCAAGGCAGAAGAGUGGUAAGGGCUAGGCAAUGGGGGUCAAGUGACUUGCCCAGGGUCACACAGCUGGGAAGUGUCUGAGGUCAGAUUUAAACCUAGGACCUCCUGUCUCUAGACCUGGCUCUCAACCCACUGAGCUACCGAGCUACCCAGCUGCACCUCCCCCCACACCCCCAUUUGGCUUUUUAUUGGUGAAGAUACUGCAGUGGUUUGCCAUUUCCUUUUCCAGAUCAUUUUAAAGAUGAGAAAACUGAGGCAAACAAAGUUAAGGGACUCUCCCAGGAUCACACAGCUAACAAGAAUCUGAGACUGGACUUGAGCUCAGGAAAAUGAAUCUUCCUGACUACAGACCUGGUGCUCUAUUCACUGCACCACCUAGCUGCCCUAAAAAGCAAGCUCUUCUGGCAUUUAAAGUUCUUCUCCACUCAGCUCCAACAACCUUUCUCUUUUUUAUGACACUCUGCUCCUUCACAGGCACACUGAAAUCCAGUCACACUAGCUGGAUUUCUGCUGCUUCUCCCACGUGAUACCUCCCACUGCUACGCCUUAGCAUGGACUGUCUAGCUAACCCCUUGGGCUUACCUCUGCCCCAAUCACGUGAAGCCUCUUCUGUUCCUCCCCACUCCACCCGGAUCGGAACACAUACCGCCCUAUAUUACCUUAUACAUCUAAUUAUAGAGUGGUAGCGAGAAUUUCGAAAUUGUAUCAGUUCAAAUCCUGUUCCUUCUAUUACCUUGUAUUUCUUUUGUAUCUACUUACAUGAAUACGUGUUAUCUCCCCCAUAAAAGGCAAGCACUUUAAGUGUGGGGACUGUAGGAUUCCUCCCAUCCCCAAGAAAUAGUAGAGUGCGUCACCCACUGUUGCCACUUAAGAAAUGCUGGUUUAUUGAUUUCUCUGGCCAUACCAUUCCCCCCAAAUGUACAAACCACCAUGCUAGGCGCUGAAAACACAAAGACAAAAAGAAAUCCAUCCUUAUGAAUGAAGAGUGUACGGUCCAUUGAAGGAAACGCUGAAACCUUUCAACAGAUAGACAAAUACAAUGUGACGACACACUCCAGAAACUUAACUUGGUUAUAUUGAACUUGAACCCUCUGGUGACAUUCAGGAUCAGUGGCAAAAAGUCCUUUUCUAUUUGCAGGGAAUCCUAAUCCCCGUCUGACUGUCUCCUCUCCUCAUUUCAAAACCCUUCCAAACAAACAAGACACUCUGGCCACACAAUAUCCCCAAUAGCUGGGGACAGUUUGCAGAGCUAGCCAGUAAAUCCAAUGCGUGCUUGCUGACCCCAGAGAGAUCAGACUAAAACUUGAGGGUGGGGAGAAGGAGUCGGGGAGGGUUAGUUAUCCAGUUAGCUGCCGGCAUUGGUAGAAUUCACUGAAUAACUGCUUGGGUCUCCAUUUGCCUACUAGAUGCCAGUUUUUAAUUUGCCCUAAAUGCCAUUCCUAGCAUCCUUCAUUCCAUGACUCCUAUAGCAUGAUUUCUCCCUCCCUCACGCCUUUUCUCCAACCAAAUUUCAGGUUCAUUGAAGUCAAGGUUUUUCCGUGACCUUCUCUUCUACCUCCUCGGAGGUCUGUUAGCCAGAGGACACUUCCCUUCCCACCUAGAACUGAGAACUGCUUCAACCAAGAUGGGAAAGGGACACGUCAUCCCAGAAAAGUUGCAAAGGGACAAAUUUGGGCGAGAAGGAGCUCUAGAAUGAAAUGGACUGCCUCAGGAAGUGAUGGUUUUCCCUUCUUGGGAGGUAUUUGAGAAGAGGUUGGACUGUCAGAGAAGAGCUGUUUUCUCUCUUUCGGUUUCAAACCUUCAGACUUUUUAAGUCUACGAUUUACGCAAACUCCCAAAGGGAAGAUUGCCCAGUGAUCCUCUCUGGGGAAAGGAAUGAAAAGGACACAAAACAAAAUAAUGGCACGUGAAGCAAUUAACCAGGAGAGCCGAGCUUUCAGCCAGCCCCACCCGCUCUGGCACCAUGCUUUAACUCCCUCACCUGUCAAAUGAAGCCAAGAUCUCAUCUCCAGAUACUGCAGCUUAAGGGCUUUGAAUGACAGCUGCGACCUAAGCAGGAAGUAUUAUUUACAGCACAUCACAAGAACAGUGAAGGUGACUGAAAGACAAGCCCAUUGACAAGAUGCCAAGCACAUGGGUUUGGGGUGGGAAAGCAGGUUCAAGAAGAUGAAAUCUUUCAUCGUCAGUCUUUAGUCCAUCUUGCCUCUCCCAUACACCAUCUCCUCAGUCCACACUGCUUCCCCAAACUUCAAGCAUUCAUUCAAAAGUAUUUUUGGAGCACUAACUACUACGUUCUGGUAUAUUUUGGAGCUAUGGGAACAGCACUGUGCAAGGUAUCUCAGAAGAUACUAAAAUGGGUAAAUCACAUGGUCCUUGCCUUUAGACUCUAACAAUCUCGUUGGCACAAGACAUACACAUAAACACUAAUUUCCUCAAUUUUUCAUCAACCAGUGAGCAUUUAUUAGGGGUUUAGAAUGUGCUGGGCACUGUGCUAAGAUGAAGAUGCAACCCCCGCCCCCCCAAACCAGUUACUGCCUUUAAGAAAUUACAUUCCUUUUUUGUUUUGAAACCCUUACCUUCCAUCUUAGAAUCAAUACUGUGUAUUGGUUCCAAGGCAGAAGAGCAGUAAGGGCCAGGAAAUGGGGGUUAAGUGACUUGCCCAGGGUCACACAGCUGGGAAGUAUCUGAGGUAAGAUUUGAACCUAGAACCUCCUAUCUCUAGGCCUGGCUCUCAGUCCACUGAGUCUCUCGGCUACGCCCAAGGAGCUUACAUUCUAAUAGAGGAGAUAACAUAUACAUAGAAGUGGCCUUUGGAAGGAAGGCACAAGGAGCAAGGGAAACUGGAAAAGGACUCCUGCAGAAGAAGGCAGCAUUUGAGUUGAUCUGAAAGGAAGCCAAGGAUUAUAAGAGUCAGAGAUUAGGAAGGAGAACAUUCCAGGCAUAAAGAACUAUUAAUAAAAAGACAGAGAAAGGAGAUGGAACAUCAGCAGGGAGGAACAGCAAGGAGACCACUAUAGUAUACAGAGACUAGAGUGUACAGAAGGGCAACGAGGCAGUGCAGUGGAAAGAUCAUUGGGCUUAGAAUCAGUAAGACUCCUAUUCAUGAGUUCAAAUCUGGUCUAGACAUUUGCCAGCUGUGUGAUGUUGGACAAGUCACUUAACCCUCUUUGCCUCAGUUUCCUUAACUGCCAAAUGAGCUAGAGAAGGAAAUGGCAAGUAUCUUUAACAAGUAAACUCAAAAAGGGUGUCAUGAAGUGUUGGAUAUGACUGAAAAUUGAACAAUGAUGAGUUAAAAGACUAUAAUGAUAAAAGAGAGUUUAACUUGUGUACAAAUUUAAGUUAUACAGAUAAUAUUUAAUGUUGACUCUACAACUUACUAUUAUUGCUAUGACCUUGGAAAAAUCAUUUCAUACUUCCUGGAUCCUCAGUUUCCUUUUCUGCAAAAUGAGAGGUAGACAACCUCUGAGGUCUUUUCCAGCUCUAGUUCAUUUGGAUUGGAUAAAGAACCAAAAUGACUAGCAUAACUUCUAAGUAGAAAGUGCUAAUGAAAAAGGUUGACAUUGCUAUAAGUGCUAUGGAAGGGAGCUUUCAAUAAAGGCUGGAGUUUUUAAGGAAGACUUCCUGGAGGAGAUGGUUCUUGAGUUGGACUUUGUAUGAAUAAUGUGGACCUGGUACAUUUCUAGACUGCCUGAGAUUGUAUCUCUUUAUGUGAUAGGCUGGAAGGAAGCUGUAUGAGGACUAGAGGGUUAGAAUCACAGGACUGGAGCAGGUACAGACAUUUUGUAUUGUCCUAACAUGCACACAGAAGGAGCCUUUUUUCAUUGGCUAAAUAACUAGAUUUGUUCCUGCCUUCAAAAUGACCUGCUUUAGCACCCACUGUGGCCUUUUCUGCAUUUGCAUCUGAGGGAACAAGAUGACUCCUUCAUCAACAGUCUCAUAAGACUAUGCAACAGGAAGGAAGACCCUCUCCCCCAAGGUCGUAUGGCCCCAGUGAAACAUUCCUGGGGCUUUUGCCUUCUGGUUCAGGUGGGCACAAAAUAAAUGCUUGAUUAAUGCUAUUCAUUAAUUCAUGAGGGGGAUCUGUAUGAGCAUACUGAGUCAGUUUGUAGAGAGCCUUAAAUGCCAGGACAGAGGCAAAGGGAGCCCAAGAAGGUUUUUGCAUUGGAAAGUGAGAGAAAAGCCUGGAGGCAUGGUCUGGAAAGGGUGAGAAGACUGUGUUAUAAAAAAUUCAAAGAUUUUGAUUUUGUUCGAGAAAAGAUCUUCAAGAAAGAAGCUUGAAACUUUUAUAUCCAGAGAAUGAACUGUUGCAGAAAGAUGCCAAAAACCUACACUUCAUCAAGAAGAUCAAGAAUGAACUUUGGAUGUGAUUGAUUGGACUGAACUUUUGAUUGAACAUUUAUUGUAACUGUACACAUUUAUGCCAAAAGGGACUGCCCCUAACUUGGCUUUCUGUCAAUGCGCCUAGCAAACAUUGGUUUUGCUUUCUUUUCUUUUCUAUUUCCUCUCUCACUAUUCUAAUUUCUCUUAGAAAAUUGAAUAUUGUAUAUAUCUUUAGUUAGAAGUGAAUUUAGAACUACAACAUGAUUAUGUUAAAUGAUCAAUGGGGAGACUAGUCUCCCAAUGAUCAUCAGGGGGGAUUGUAAACCUUAAAAUUUCUUAGACUUAUAAAUGUUGAAAAUUUCACCAUUGGGAAAUUUCAUACUUGAAAAAUUUCCUAUUGAUAGUGGGUCUUGGCUCUUUUUGGACUUCUGUUUUGGAGCAGACACAGCUCUUUCCAUAAUGUAGGUGAGGUCUAGGCCUCUGGCCUAGACACGUGUUUUUUCUUAUCCUGUAUUUUCUUUUAAUCCUUAACUUUAAUAAACCUCAUAAAAUAUAA
Non-coding RNA from Monodelphis domestica (gray short-tailed opossum), 44165 nucleotides. The record is from RefSeq and is a predicted model, not a curated record. NCBI's taxonomy places the organism in Eukaryota, Metazoa, Chordata, Mammalia, Didelphimorphia, Didelphidae.